Molecule: ribosomal RNA, 402 nt
Filed under: uncultured bacterium
Lineage: Bacteria
Description: bacterial SSU rRNA
Rfam family: Bacterial small subunit ribosomal RNA
Source: RNAcentral
UGGGGAAUAUUGCACAAUGGGCGAAAGCCUGAUGCAGCAACGCCGCGUGAGGGAUGAAGGCCUUCGGGUUGUAAAGCUCUGUCUUCUGGGACGAUAAUGACGGUACCAGAGGAGGAAGCCACGGCUAACUACGUGCCAGCAGCCGCGGUAAUACGUAGGGGGCAAGCGUUGUCCGGAUUUACUGGGCGUAAAGGAUGCGUAGGCGGAUACUUAAGUCAGAUGUGAAAAUCCCGGGCUUAACUUGGGAACUGCAUUUGAAACUGGGUAUCUAGAGUGCGGGAGAGGAAAGUGGAAUUCCUAGUGUAGCGGUGAAAUGCGUAGAGAUUAGGAAGAACACCAGUGGCGAAGGCGACUUUCUGGACCGUAACUGACGCUGAGGCAUGAAAGCGUGGGGAGCAAACA